Anolis carolinensis (green anole) is the source of this 2097-nucleotide long non-coding RNA. RefSeq lists it as uncharacterized. The record is from RefSeq and is a predicted model, not a curated record. The transcript has 3 exons. Lineage: Eukaryota; Metazoa; Chordata; Lepidosauria; Squamata; Anolidae.
AGGAAAAAGCGGGGCGGAGGCGGGCAGGAGGGGAACCCCCUGCAAAGCGAGCCCCGCUCCUCCUCGCCCUCCUCUCCCUCCUCCCUCUCCAGAAACAGGGGCUGGUGUGGGUGGGGACUAAUCCCUUGGGGCAGGACCCUCCUCGCCGCUGUCAGGCAGAACGGGGCUGCGGGAAGCCGAAGGGGCUGCCUCUACGGCCCAGGAAGGCAGCUUGACACCGCUUUAACUGCUAUGGCUCAAUGCCAUGAAAUCCUGAACAUUGCAAUAUAAGAAGUGGGUUGCUGUGAGUUUUCCGGCCUGUAUGGCCAUGUUCCAGAAGCAUUAUCUCCUGACGUUUCGCCCAGGCAUCCUCAGAGUGAGAGAACACAUGGACUGGUUCCAGUUUGCAGUUAUCACCCUGUAAUUUAAAACCUGAAUGCCCCUAAGAAUUGGAAGAUGCCAUGGACAAGCAAGUAUGUCAUAUCAAAACACAGGCUGUUUAUCGCAAAUCUAGCUUUAAAAAAAAACAAAGAAAUUCGAGGCUUCUUUAUUUUUAAAAACUGUCUAAGGAAUUUUAGUCUCACUGGCAAGCUAGAAAUUUCCAAACUGAUUUUGUAUCUAAAUUACAAAAAUAUUUUAAAACUAAAGUAUUUUUCCAAAAAUAAUGAUUUGUAAGUGCUCACCCAACUAUCAAACAAAUGCAUGGAAUAACCGCACAUGGUCAUUGUUACUUGCAAAACAUACAGAUGCAUAUAUAUGUGUGUGUAUAUAAUGAGUCAAGUUGCAUUGAUAUGGCUGAUGAUUCUGAUCAUUUCUGGUGUUGGGACUGUUCAUUGUCAUCUUCAUCACUUCCUAAUGCUGCAUUAGUGUCCUUUUUGGUGGGAAACCAUCUUGCCUGAUUUACAGAUGUUGAAGUUUCAUUUUCUUUGAGUACUUUGCCUGUAUCUUCUGCUGACUCAAGCUGCUCUCGUUGAGAAGUGCCAUAACCAGCAACAUCCCUUAAGAAGGCCAUCCCAUCCUCUUUCUUGUGGGAGAUAAAAGGCAUUUCUUUUGAAUGCUUUCCACGUUCUGAAGAUUCACGCCCAAAUGGUGCUUGCUGUGGUAUCAACAAAUCAGUCGCACUCUCAAAGAUGUCAUCGUCAUCAUCUUCAUCAUCAUCCGCUUUCAUGUGUGAAAUAGAAGACAUUUUUCCUGACUGCUCUUUAUGUCUGGAAGUUCCACUUUGGAAUGGCACUUUUUUUGAUUUCAGGAAAUCAACUGCAUUAUGAAAAUGUUCCUCGUCGUCAUCAUCCUCCUCCUCAAAAUUGUCAUCUAAGAAAGCCACCCCAUCUUUUUUCCGGUGGGGAGUCAAAGACCUCCUCUCACCUUUAACUGAUGUUAGAUCAGAUAGACGUUCGAUUUGUUCUUCUUCAUCAUUAUCAUCACUAUCAUAGUCAUCUAAGAAAGAUACUCUACGUUCUGUUGGCUUUGGAGGCUCCAACAUUUCUGUUUUAAGGACUACUCCAUCUGGCCUCAAAUCUACUGUGGUCUCAAGAGGUUCUUCUUCUUCAUCUAAGAAUGCCACUCCAUCUUCUUUCCGGUGGAGAAGAUGUUCUGCUUGUUGUAUUAAAUCUAAAGUAUCCUCUUUUAGUGAUACAGCCUCUGGUACAGCUGGCUCUUGCAAUGGCCUUACUUCAGUUGUACCUUCAGGUUGUUUUUCUUCACUGCCAGCAUGGCUACUCAAGAGAGUCAAGUGAUCUUCUUUUUCACAGGGAGGAUACUCUACAAUUUGACUGUGAAGAGAGGCUGUCUUUGCAACUAGCUCUGGUACUGGUACUGCUCUCACAUCGGUUGUACUUUCUUUUUGUUGACGUGCCUCAGGAUGAAACACUUGAGGAACUGAGACACUUGUUUCUUCUGCUUUUUUGUGGUGUAUCACACGGUCUGAAGUUGUCUCUGACUUCAAUAUGCCUUUAAAUGAUUUCAUACUAAACCUUUUUGAAGUUUGGGACAUAAUGUCUUCAGGAGGUAACAUAAUUGAUCUUGUGUAUGAAGAUGUUAUACUCUGUAAGAAAACAAAUCAAAUUGUAAGAAUGGCAGAGGAAGACUGUGUGUUUCAUUAAAGUAUAAUUAAAUGUA